UACGGGGGGUGCAAGCGUUAUUCGGAUUUAUUGGGCGUAAAGGGCGCGUAGGCGGCUUGGUAAGUCAGAUGUGAAAGCCCGGGGCUCAACCCCGGAAGUGCAUUUGAAACUAUCAGGCUUGAGUAUGGGAGAGGGAAGUGGAAUUCCUGGUGUAGAGGUGAAAUUCGUAGAUAUCAGGAGGAACACCGGUGGCGAAGGCGACUUCCUGGACCAAUACUGACGCUGAGGCGCGAAGGCGUGGGGAGCAAACAGGAUUAGAAACCCGAGUAGUCC
This 273-nucleotide ribosomal RNA is filed under the name uncultured bacterium. RNAcentral describes it as "partial 16S ribosomal RNA". It matches the Rfam family "Bacterial small subunit ribosomal RNA", at positions 524 to 796 of the family's 1533-position model. The record is from RNAcentral.